Molecule: ribosomal RNA, 449 nt
Filed under: uncultured bacterium
Lineage: Bacteria
Description: bacterial SSU rRNA
Rfam family: Bacterial small subunit ribosomal RNA
Source: RNAcentral
GUCGAGAAUUUUUCACAAUGGGCGCAAGCCUGAUGGAGCGACGCCGCGUGGGGGAUGAAUGGCUUCGGCCCGUAAACCCCUGUCAUUUGCGAGCAAUGCCUUUUCGUGAAGAGCGGAGAGGUUGAUCGUAGCGAAAGAGGAAGGGACGGCUAACUCUGUGCCAGCAGCCGCGGUAAUACAGAGGUCCCAAGCGUUGUUCGGAUUUACUGGGCGUAAAGGGUGUGUAGGUGGCGAGGUAAGUUCGGUGUGAAAUCUCCGGGCUCAACCCGGAAAUGGCAUUGAAGACUAUCUUGCUCGAGGUUUGGAGGGGGGAUUGGAAUUCUCGGUGUAGCAGUGAAAUGCGUAGAUAUCGAGAGGAACACCGGUGGCGAAGGCGAGUCCCUGGACAACACCUGACACUGAGACACAAAAGCUAGGGGAGCAAACAGGAUUAGAUACCCGAGUAGUCC